RNAcentral lists this ribosomal RNA (700 nucleotides) under uncultured Nocardioides sp. RNAcentral's name for it is "bacterial SSU rRNA". It matches the Rfam family "Bacterial small subunit ribosomal RNA", at positions 98 to 811 of the family's 1533-position model. The record is from RNAcentral. Lineage: Bacteria; Bacillati; Actinomycetota; Actinomycetes; Propionibacteriales; Nocardioidaceae.
GCGAACGGGUGAGUAACACGUGAGUAAUCUGCCCUGCGCUCUGGGAUAGCCACCGGAAGCGGUGAUUAAUACCGGAUAGGACCACUUCACGCAUGUGAUGGUGGUGGAAAGUUUUUUCGGCGCAGGAUGUGCUCGCGGCCUAUCAGCUUGUUGGUGAGGUAACGGCUCACCAAGGCUUUGACGGGUAACCGGCCUGAGAGGGUGACCGGUCACACUGGGACUGAGACACGGCCCAGACUCCUACGGGAGGCAGCAGUGGGGAAUAUUGGACAAUGGGCGGAAGCCUGAUCCAGCAACGCCGCGUGAGGGAUGACGGCCUUCGGGUUGUAAACCUCUUUCAGUACCGACGAAGCGAAAGUGACGGUAGGUACAGAAGAAGGACCGGCCAACUACGUGCCAGCAGCCGCGGUAAUACGUAGGGUCCGAGCGUUGCCCGGAAUUAUUGGGCGUAAAGGGCUCGUAGGCGGUUUGUCGCGUCGGGAGUGACAACACCGGGCUUAACUCGGUGCUUGCUUUCGAUACGGGCAGACUAGAGGUAUGCAGGGGAGAAUGGAAUUCCUGGUGUAGCGGUGAAAUGCGCAGAUAUCAGGAGGAACACCGGUGGCGAAGGCGGUUCUCUGGGCAUUACCUGACGCUGAGGAGCGAAAGUGUGGGGAGCGAACAGGAUUAGAUACCCUGGUAGUCCACACCGUAAACGUUG